UAUGUUAAGAGAAUAUUGUAUAAUAUGAUCAGCUAUAUGAAAUGUAUCUUUUUAUCUUACUGUUGGGGACAUGUCUGGGUGACUUUUCACCCAGUAACUUGUUUGCAGCUACUAACCGCUUCCUGUCUUCAGAGAACAGAGAAGUGAAGACUCAGCUCUAUUAGAAGAACAUGCAAAUGUAGUGAAGGGAAAAAACCCGCGGCUCCAAAUGAUGUUGUUACCUUUGUACACACACACACACACACACACACACACGCACACAAAACAUCUUGUAUAAAUAAAGGACGGGGACAGUUGUGGGGCGCAGAUCCUGUGUACAUGACUGCCCCUCGCGAGGAAAAACUUCUGCAGUGUUUGUGUGUUUUCUAAACUCAGGAGUCUUGGCUAAAGAAAGAACGGCAGGGUGAUUUAAAGAAAUCCCCUGUCAUUUAAAUUGGUCCUUCGAACCUAGAGAUGGAAACAGCAGACUCAUUUCUGUGACUCCAAUAAGGUCUGAUUUCUGCAUCCUGACGCCGUGGGUAAACCAGCACCGAAGUCUGUCGACAGCCCUCUCCAGGUAGAGGUGAGAGUCCUGGAACGUUGAAUUCGGGUCCAGGCCGGUGAUUUAGUACUGGUCCACGACGUUGGGAUCCAGAUGACCUGAACAACCAGCAAAAGACGACUGAGGGUGAGAAAACACUUUUUGGUUUUAAACCGCCGGAAGGGUUUAGAAGAAUGCGCAAAAUAGGUUAGAAGUAGCCGGAAUUACUUCAGGAAAUGCGCAAAGGUUGGAAGUAGCCGGAAUUACUUCAAAGAAGCACGUGAAAUAGGGUUUACGUUCGCCACAAGGAACUGUGUUUAGAGUGGUUUUAGAAGUGACCGUGAAUUACUUCGUGACAAAUUAGCGCGCAAAUGUCUAUCUGUGUGUACGUAUAUGUGUUUUGGAAGUAAGUUGAUUUUGCAGCACAAUAAGUUGCUGAACUACUUCCAUUGUUUUUUGUUUUUUAUUGUUUUCUUUGCUGAGGCUCACGUACUGGUGACAAAGGAGAACGGUUGAGUUUUAUCUCGUAAAACUGAUACCGCUUCAUUUUUUAGAAAUGAAGUAGAAGGCCGUACCAGUAAACCACUCUGAAGUCUAGCGUGCCAGUGACGGCCCAGCAAAAUCUUUGAGAAUGGAGAAUAAACAAGCAAAAUUAACACCUGAUGAGAAAUGUUUAGAAAAACAACAAACCAGAGUAGGACUAAUCCAAAAGAAAGACAGAGGAAUGCUUAGUGGAACAGCAAGAGGUAGAGGUAGACCUAUACACACACCAAAAAGUGGCUUUAGCACUGCAUGCUGGAGGUGUGGAAAAGAGGGACAUUUUGUACGUGACUGUAAGAAACUAAGAAGCAGUUCAGACUAGGAAGGAAAUAAUAAUCCCUCAUCAAGUGACAAAUUAGAGAUCAAAGUAGAAGUUUAAAAUGAGUUGGAUACAGACCCAAUUGAAUAUAUAUAUAAAUACUCUUAGGAAUAAAGUGGAAUAAAGAAAAGGUUAAAUCGAAUUAGAGCUUAUCUCUACUAUAUUCAAACUAAUAAUAGGAAGCAUAGCAACCUGUAAAUUGGUAUUACCAAAUGAUACAAAAUUGGGUAGACAACCAUACCCAGAAUGAAUAGAAUGAAUGAAAGCAGAUAAUUCACA
Oreochromis niloticus (Nile tilapia) is the source of this 1658-nucleotide long non-coding RNA. RefSeq lists it as uncharacterized. The transcript has 2 exons. NCBI's taxonomy places the organism in Eukaryota, Metazoa, Chordata, Actinopteri, Cichliformes, Cichlidae. The record is from RefSeq and is a predicted model, not a curated record.